Molecule: long non-coding RNA, 200 nt
Filed under: Daucus carota (carrot)
Lineage: Eukaryota; Viridiplantae; Streptophyta; Magnoliopsida; Apiales; Apiaceae
Description: long non-coding RNA (DCAR_LNC005042)
Source: RNAcentral
GAUGGAUCAAUUGCUGAUGAGAAGGAUGAUUAUGGUUAUCUGGCUAUCCAAGCAUUCUCUGAAGAUGAUUCACUUUGCACAUCUCAGGUAUGAAUUCUUUCUAACUUUGCAAUACUUAUUUCAUUAUAUUCAAAGCAUGUUAUAAAUCUCUGAGUAGAAUUGUUUAACACACAAGCACAAGCAUGAUAGCAUCACAAUAG